AUGCCGCGCCCCUGCACCAUGUCGCCGGCAAUGGCCCUGCUACUAUGCUUGGCGAUGCUAUCCAGUGGCGGCUGGUGCGGGGGGUGCAGGGACGAUGAGAGGGCGACGCUUCUGGACAUCCGCGGCCAGUUCAACUACAACUCGCCGCUGGACUGGAAUAGCACAGAUUGCUGCCGGUGGGAGGGGGUGAGCUGCAGCUCCCCCACAGCUCGUGUCACCGGCCUCGACCUCAGCAUACUGCACAGUAUUGCCUCCAGCAGAGGCCUACUCAACACCACCAUGUUCCUCCCCUUGCAAGAGCUGCAGGAUCUGUCCCUGAGCGGCCUCAAGAUACAAGGAUGCACACCCGGUGCAGGCUUUGAAGUAUGGUCAAAAUUACACAGACUAAAAGUUCUUGAUUUAUCCUAUAAUGGAAAAUUAAUGGAGAGUGACGUCCCAUCCUUAGUCGCAAUUUUAUCGCUACGGUCCCUAUUCCUCAACGGGAAUGACUUCAGCUCCAAUAUGACAAUACAGCAACUGAGCAUAAUGAAGUUGGAUACUCUUGACAUAGGCAAUAAUGAUAUCAAAGGCACCAUACCUACAGUGGACUCUCAAGAUGUGAAGUGGUUUGGAACUGGUCAUUGUGAUGUCCUGAUUGGAACAAGAAGGCGAUGCUUUUCCAAAUCUUGGACUAGGUUAAUCUUAAGCCACUUUCUUAGUCAUUGUUAUCUGCAACUAGUAGGCAUAGGAGCGGCGGCGCGCCGCACCUGUGGUGGAGCCUAUGCAUGCAUCUACGUUGUUUUUUUAUUUUAA
RNAcentral lists this ribosomal RNA (792 nucleotides) under Triticum aestivum (bread wheat). Its description in RNAcentral is "partial small subunit ribosomal RNA". Lineage: Eukaryota; Viridiplantae; Streptophyta; Magnoliopsida; Poales; Poaceae. The record is from RNAcentral.